GAUGAUGUGGCUGACUAGAAGGCGGCGGAUUGUAAGUCCGUAUCAUAGAAGUGCAAAUCUUUUUAUCAUCA
RNAcentral lists this transfer RNA (71 nucleotides) under Saccoglossus kowalevskii. Its description in RNAcentral is "tRNA-Tyr". It matches the Rfam family "tRNA". From Rfam's summary of the family: Transfer RNA (tRNA) molecules are approximately 80 nucleotides in length. Their secondary structure includes four short double-helical elements and three loops (D, anti-codon, and T loops). Further hydrogen bonds mediate the characteristic L-shaped molecular structure. tRNAs have two regions of fundamental functional importance: the anti-codon, which is responsible for specific mRNA codon recognition, and the 3' end, to which the tRNAs corresponding amino acid is attached (by aminoacyl-tRNA synthetases). tRNAs cope with the degeneracy of the genetic code in two manners: having more than one tRNA (with a specific anti-codon) for a particular amino acid; and 'wobble' base-pairing, i.e. permitting non-standard base-pairing at the 3rd anti-codon position. The record is from RNAcentral. Lineage: Eukaryota; Metazoa; Hemichordata; Enteropneusta; Harrimaniidae.